RNAcentral lists this ribosomal RNA (506 nucleotides) under uncultured bacterium. Its description in RNAcentral is "partial 16S ribosomal RNA". It matches the Rfam family "Bacterial small subunit ribosomal RNA", at positions 29 to 523 of the family's 1533-position model. The record is from RNAcentral.
AGUGAACGCUGGCGGUAGGCCUAACACAUGCAAGUCGAACGGCAGCACAGGAGAGCUUGCUCUCUGGGUGGCGAGUGGCGGACGGGUGAGGAAUACAUCGGAAUCUACUCUGUCGUGGGGGAUAACGUAGGGAAACUUACGCUAAUACCGCAUACGACCUACGGGUGAAAGCAGUGGAUCUUCGGACCUUGCGCGAUUGAAUGAGCCGAUGUCGGAUUAGCUAGUUGGCGGGGUAAAGGCCCACCAAGGCGACGAUCCGUAGCUGGUCUGAGAGGAUGAUCAACCACACUGGAACUGAGACACGGUCCAGACUCCUACGGGAGGCAGCAGUGGGGAAUAUUGGACAAUGGGCGCAAGCCUGAUCCAGCCAUACCGCGUGGGUGAAGAAGGCCUUCGGGUUGUAAAGCCCUUUUGUUGGGACAGAAAUCCAGCUGGCUAAUACCCGGUUGGGAUGACGGUACCCAAAGAAUAAGCACCGGCUAACUUCGUGCCAGCCGCCGCGGUAA